ACCCGCACAAGCAGCGGAGCGUGUGGUUUAAUUCGUUGCUACACGAAGAACCUUACCUGGGUUUGACAUAUAGGUGUAGGGAACUGAAAGGGACCGGCCUUCGGGAGCCUAUACAGGUGUUGCAUGGCUGUCGUCAGCUCGUGUCGUGAGAUGUUCGGUUAAGUCCGCUAACGAGCGCAACCCUCGUCGUAUGUUAUAUGUGUCAUACGAGACUGCCGGUAAAAGCCGGAGGAAGGUGAGGAUGAUGUCAAGUCAGCAUGACCUUUAUAUCCAGGGCUACACACACGCUACAAUGGUCUGUACAAUGGGUAACCAAGCCGCGAGGCGGAGCCAAUCCUGAAAGCAGGCCUCAGUUCAGAUUGCAGUCUGCAACUCGACUGCAUGAAGCCGGAGUUGCUAGUAACCGCAGGUCAGCAAUACUGCGGUGAAUACGUUCCCGGGUCUU
RNAcentral lists this ribosomal RNA (445 nucleotides) under uncultured Anaerolineaceae bacterium. RNAcentral's name for it is "bacterial SSU rRNA". It matches the Rfam family "Bacterial small subunit ribosomal RNA", at positions 919 to 1382 of the family's 1533-position model. Lineage: Bacteria; Bacillati; Chloroflexota; Anaerolineae; Anaerolineales; Anaerolineaceae. The record is from RNAcentral.